GGGGGGGGGGGGGGGGGGGGGGGGGGGGGGGGGGGGGGGGGGGGGGGGGGGGGGCGGGCGCCGCGGAGGGUAGCGGCGGACGGGUGAGGAACACGUGGGGAACCGACCUAUAAGACUGGGAUAACUUCGGGAAACCGGAGCUAAUACCGGAUAAUAUAUGGAACCGCAUGGUUCACUAGUGAAAGACGGUUUUGCUGUCACUUAUAGAUGGAUCCGCGCCGCAUUAGCUAGUUGGUAAGGUAACGGCUUACCAAGGCAACGAUGCGUAGCCGACCUGAGAGGGUGAUCGGCCACACUGGAACUGAGACACGGUCCAGACUCCUACGGGAGGCAGCAGUAGGGAAUCUUCCGCAAUGGGCGAAAGCCUGACGGAGCAACGCCGCGUGAGUGAUGAAGGUCUUCGGAUCGUAAAACUCUGUUAUUAGGGAAGAACAAAUGUGUAAGUAACUAUGCACGUCUUGACGGUACCUAAUCAGAAAGCCACGGCUAACUACGUG
Molecule: ribosomal RNA, 497 nt
Filed under: uncultured bacterium
Lineage: Bacteria
Description: partial 16S ribosomal RNA
Rfam family: Bacterial small subunit ribosomal RNA
Source: RNAcentral